RNAcentral lists this ribosomal RNA (253 nucleotides) under uncultured bacterium. RNAcentral describes it as "partial 16S ribosomal RNA". It matches the Rfam family "Bacterial small subunit ribosomal RNA", at positions 524 to 776 of the family's 1533-position model. The record is from RNAcentral.
UACAGAGGUCUCAAGCGUUGUUCGGAUUCAUUGGGCGUAAAGGGUGCGUAGGCGGCGCGGUAAGUCGGGUGUGAAAUCUCGGGGCUUAACUCCGAAACUGCAUUUGAUACUGCGGUGCUUGAGGACUGGAGAGGAGACUGGAAUUUAUGGUGUAGCAGUGAAAUGCGUAGAUAUCAUAAGGAAGACCAGUGGCGAAGGCGGGUCUCUGGACAGUUCCUGACACUGAGACACGAAGGCCAGGGGAGCAAACGGG